RNAcentral lists this long non-coding RNA (339 nucleotides) under Elaeis guineensis (African oil palm). RNAcentral's name for it is "long non-coding RNA (EGUI_LNC074931)". Lineage: Eukaryota; Viridiplantae; Streptophyta; Magnoliopsida; Arecales; Arecaceae. The record is from RNAcentral.
CGCUAAGAUCCGCUGCCUAUUUAAACCCCCUACCCUUCCUUCGGGGCUUUACUCCGCCUAAAGGACGGCACCUUUCUUUCGUCUGAGAGCCUAGCUACUCAGCCACUCCCUCGGUGCCCCUGCCAACUCCGAGCGUCCUCCGCGCCGGUCUUUGCCAUCUCUCUACCAUCUUCAGCCCCCUGAUUCCUCUCUAAGGGGUUUCCCCGCCAGGUCCUCCACCCCGGAGGCCAUCCUCAAGAGGAUGCCAAGGGCUUGGAGGAAGGCAAGGAGGAGAACAGCGGUCUGCGAGUUCACCGAUCAUCGAGCGACCGUUGAAGGUCCCCGUCGCUUCAAAGGGGG